RNAcentral lists this ribosomal RNA (497 nucleotides) under uncultured bacterium. RNAcentral describes it as "partial 16S ribosomal RNA". It matches the Rfam family "Bacterial small subunit ribosomal RNA", at positions 28 to 507 of the family's 1533-position model. The record is from RNAcentral.
GAUGAGCGCUGGCGGCGUGCCUAAUACAUGCAAGUCGAGCGAACGGACGAGAAGCUUGCUUCUCUGAUGUUAGCGGCGGACGGGUGAGUAACACGUGGAUAACCUACCUAUAAGUCUGGGAUAACUUCGGGAAACCGUAGCUAAUACCGGAUAAUAUUUUGAACCGCAUGGUUCAAAAGUGAAAGACGGUCUUGCUGUCACGUAUAGAUGGAUCCGCGCUGCAUUAGCUAGUUGGUAAGGUAACGGCUUACCAAGGCAACGAUGCAUAGCCGACCUGAGAGGGUGAUCGGCCACACUGGAACGGAGACACGGUCCAGACUCCUACGGGAGGCAGCAGUAGGGAAUCUUCCGCAAAGGGCGAAAGCCUGACGGAGCAACGCCGCGUGAGUGAUGAAGGUCUUCGGAUCGUAAAACUCUGUUAUUAGGGAAGAACAUAUGUGUAAGUAACUGUGCACAUCUUGACGGUACCUAAUCAGAAAGCCACGGCUAACUACGUG